RNAcentral lists this ribosomal RNA (482 nucleotides) under uncultured bacterium. Its description in RNAcentral is "partial 16S ribosomal RNA". It matches the Rfam family "Bacterial small subunit ribosomal RNA", at positions 30 to 507 of the family's 1533-position model. The record is from RNAcentral.
AUUGAACGCUGGCGGCAUGCUUUACACGUGCAAGUCGAACGGUAACAGGCCGCAAGGUGCUGACGAGUGGCGAACGGGUGAGUAAUGCAUCGGAACGUGCCCAGUCGUGGGGGAUAACUACUCGAAAGAGUAGCUAAUACCGCAUACGAUCUAUGGAUGAAAGCGGGGGACCGUAAGGCCUCGCGCGAUUGGAGCGGCCGAUGUCAGAUUAGGUAGUUGGUGGGGUAAAGGCUCACCAAGCCAACGAUCUGUAGCUGGUCUGAGAGGACGACCAGCCACACUGGGACUGAGACACGGCCCAGACUCCUACGGGAGGCAGCAGUGGGGAAUUUUGGACAAUGGGCGCAAGCCUGAUCCAGCAAUGCCGCGUGCAGGGAGAAGGCCUUCGGGUUGUAAACUGCUUUUGUACGGAACGAAACGGCUCUGGUUAAUACCCGGGGCUAAUGACGGUACCGUAAGAAUAAGCACCGGCUAACUACGUG